This 253-nucleotide ribosomal RNA is filed under the name uncultured bacterium. RNAcentral's name for it is "partial 16S ribosomal RNA". It matches the Rfam family "Bacterial small subunit ribosomal RNA", at positions 524 to 776 of the family's 1533-position model. The record is from RNAcentral.
UACAGGGGUCUCAAGCGUUGUUCGGAUUCAUUGGGCGUAAAGGGUGUGUAGGUGGCGCCGUAAGUCGGGUGUGAAAUUUCGGAGCUUAACUCCGAAACUGCAUUCGAUACUGCGGUGCUUGAGGACUGGAGAGGAGACUGGAAUUCAUGGUGUAGCAGUGAAAUGCGUAGAGAUCAUGAGGAGGACCAGUGGCGAAGGCGGGUCUCUGGACAGUUCCUGACACUGAGACACGAAGGCCAGGGGAGCAAACGGG